This is a non-coding RNA of Hydra vulgaris (swiftwater hydra), 1354 nucleotides long. The record is from RefSeq and is a predicted model, not a curated record. Lineage: Eukaryota; Metazoa; Cnidaria; Hydrozoa; Anthoathecata; Hydridae.
AAUAAACUUGAAUUCCUCAGAAAAUAUAAAUUUCAGCAGAUUUUUUUAAAAAUAAAAUUUUAGAUGUUAGUAAAGUUUUCUAGAAAGCUACGAGACUAUGUAUCAUCAAGUUGCAGCAAUCGUUUAGAUAAAAAAGUUACGAAACUAUGUAUCAUCAAGUCACAGCAAUCGUUUAGAUAAGAAAGUUACGAAACUAUGUAUUAUCAAGUCACAGCAAUGGCUUAAAUGAUCAAUUUCCUUUGUCAAUUUCAUGUAGUUAUUUUUAUGAAAAUAAACUGCUUGUGAGAAUUUCAAUUGAUCAAUCUGAAUACACGUUUGUCUGAAUCUGUAGCUGAGACUAUGACCGCUGAAAAUCUGCCUAUUGUUAUUCAAUCUGAAAACCUGUAUUUACCUGAAGCUGUAGAUGAGACUAUUACCGUUGAAAAUCUGUCUAUUGGUGAGAUAUUUUAUCAUAUUCCGUUAAUCCGGAUAUAUGUUAUGAUUAUUACGGUAAAGCUCAAUAUUCAUUUUACAUUACAACUGGCAUGAAUACACAUCUUCAAUCAUCUGGUAAUGAUGUAGAGAUACAUUCAUCAGCAAUUGCUUCCAAUGACUUGGUUACAGGAAAGAGGAAGAAGAAGUCCUUUACCCCGAAAGAGAAGACUUUAGAAAAGCGAAAAUGUGAACCUGAGUCAUGGAAAAAAAAGGCAGCGACAUUAGCAAGAGAGAGAGGGCAGUCUUAAAAAAGUCAGGGUACGAACAAAGAAAUGCCUUCUAAAAUGGUUAAUGAGGGCAUUCCGUGCAACGAAAAUUGUCGUUGGAGUUGCAGCUCAAAGAUCAGUGUAGAAGAUAGAGCAAGUCUUUUAGAGGCAUUUUACAAACUGGAUGUAAAUGCAAAGAAGGUCCUAUCGUUUAAAUGCAUUACUAAAACAGCCAUUAAAAGAAUGCGACUAAAUGCAAAAUCCCCUAAAAGUGCUUCUUAUUUCUAUAAAGUAUCUAAAAGCACUCUGCAGCCUCUACAAAAUUGGAAUGAAGAAAGUGGAUAUUAUAAAAAGUAGGAUUGAUGAUGGCGUUUCUGCUCCACCGAAGGACUUAAGAGGGAGGCAUCCAAAUAGACCCCACAAAAUGCAAGAUGAGGUUCUUCAAAGAAUCAUUGCCCACAUUAAAAAAUUCCCAGUAGAGGAGUAACACUACUCUAGAAAUAAAAACUUUCAUAAAAAGCAUUUAUCGCCUGUGCUCAAUAUUACUUUGUUGUACCAAUCGUACAUAGAAGAGUGUGAGAAAGAGAAAUUAAGCGAAAUGUAUAAAAUUAAAAAAUGUACCUUCACAAAUGCUGGCCUUGCGAUGAAUAAGAACUGCGCGACACAUAAGCACG